GUUGCUUCCAUCCGGAAGAGUGGCCUUCUCUGUCAUGUGGUCAUUCUGUAGAUGGAAGCAUAGAUUUAUCUGUCAGUAUUAAACAGCAUUGUGCUCCACAAUGGCAUUGUGUUACCUGUCUCCUGAUAAAUUU
This is a small nucleolar RNA of Zingiber officinale, 133 nucleotides long. RefSeq annotates it as small nucleolar RNA snoR137. The record is from RefSeq and is a predicted model, not a curated record. The transcript has a single exon. Lineage: Eukaryota; Viridiplantae; Streptophyta; Magnoliopsida; Zingiberales; Zingiberaceae.